GUUAAGAGGGAAGCGAGAACAAAGAACAAAUCUAUCUCUUUUUUUUUGUCAAACAAGAUCUUCAUUCAUUCAAUCCUCAAAAGAAGGAGGUUCAUACACAAAGACAUAAGAUAAUACAAUGAAAUUAAAGAUAGGGGCUUCAUGAGUUUUUCAAAGAGAUGUGUACUUUUAAAAAAAGCUUACAAGGAUUGAAAGAUUCGACCAUGAAGUCGGGCUUGGCGAAAUCCUUGCAAACAAUGCAUCCGAGCUUUUGAUCAUGUGCUCCACGGAGGAGGAUGUUGGGUUGGUGAGGUUGAAAAGGAAACGGUAACCAACUCUAAAAGACAUGGUCAUAAUGCCGUACUUUUCCAAACAAACAGAAGGUUGCAAAUUAUCCAAGCAAAAGAUUAAUACAUGACUGACCUUGAUAAUUGGUGUAUGGGUAGAUAGAGAGUUGUAGAGGCUUCGGUAACACCUACUCCGUAGAAAUAGGGUCAUAAUGCCGGUACUCUUAACUCUAAAAAGCAAAUGACUAUGGUUGGGUAAACUAGUCUCGGAAAGGGUCCAAAGGAAACCAAGCAAAUGACUAUGGUUGGGUAAAUUAGCGUGGCGUCCAUAACCAGCCAUAUCAGAGACAAAGGGUGCUAAAGGGAGGGAACCUGACAGGAUAUUAGCGAUACUUCACACGGGCAACAACAAUCUAGGACACUUCCAAAGAGAAACUACUUCCAAACUACUUGAGAUCAGACUCGGACAAUCACGCAAACGGACCACACGAUAAGAACUAGCAACCAGGUUUUGUGAAAGAUAGCAACUAAUCCAAACUAAAUCCAUCAUCACCAUUACAGGAAGGCGUCCAUAACAAUCCCUAAACGAUGACAGUUUCAGAAAAUUUGGGCUGUUCAGAAUAGAAUUAAAACAAGACCAGGGCCUUAGAAGACGUGGGCAUAAGUCAGCAGAAGUCUUUGUGGGCUUCAAAGCUUUGGGUAAAGGACAGGAGGGAGGGCAAAGGAGGCUUGGGCUUGGCCCAAACCGAAGACCCAUUAGGUUUAGCCAGGUUCUUCUCUUCCUCACCAAAAGCGGCGGUGGCACAACUGAAUGCAACAUUCUGGUGACCGAAUUGAGGGCUUCUAAGACUAAAACGACCACAUCGAGAGGUGCGAGUGAUGAAUCUCGGUCUGCAGAAGAAGAUUCUUUUGUGAUUUGAAGCCUCCACAGUUUCCACGUCGAGGCCGAGCUCUCAUCCAUUGAGGACCAAAGAGUUGCUGAUCUUGACUUUAAGGAAAGCCGAGGAGAGGGAUCCACGAGAAUCGCGAACAAGGUAAGAGAAGAGCUAAUACCAGAUGGGAGUAGUUUCGAAGGUUGUGCGGUAAUGAAGCUUUAUGGAUCUAAUAGGAGGGAAAAGAGACGAAACAACACGAAACAAAAAACAGAGAAACCGAUGAGAGAGCUUAUGGGAGGAAACCGGUGAGAAGAAGCUAGCUCCUGGCACCGACGAGCUAACGCUCUACCGGUGCCAGAAAAAAUUGAUGAAAAGGCUGUCUCAAAAAUCACGUCUGGGAGAGAAGCUCUUGAAUCUUCCUAUCUAUUUAGAAAUAGGAAGUAAUGCUUAAUUAAGAUGUAGAAGCCGAGUAUUUCCUUACAUCUAUAGGAGAUCUAUUCAACAUGGACUCAGUUAGUUUUUUUUCUUUUUUGGGUAUUAAUUAUAUUGUUGUUAUUUUGUGAGCUAAUUUUUCUUCUUUCUUUCUUUUUUGUGUGUGAAUAUCUUUUAGUCGUCUGCGUUUUUUUCUCUAAUUUAAAUUGUAAAAUCUCUUAAAAAUAUAAUUAGAUUUCGUGAAAAUACUAAACAAUUUCACAUCCGGCUAGUUAUUUUAUCCUCA
This is a long non-coding RNA of Arabidopsis thaliana (thale cress), 1859 nucleotides long. RefSeq annotates it as other RNA. The transcript has a single exon. Lineage: Eukaryota; Viridiplantae; Streptophyta; Magnoliopsida; Brassicales; Brassicaceae. The record is from RefSeq.